This 468-nucleotide ribosomal RNA is filed under the name uncultured bacterium. Its description in RNAcentral is "partial 16S ribosomal RNA". It matches the Rfam family "Bacterial small subunit ribosomal RNA", at positions 28 to 507 of the family's 1533-position model. The record is from RNAcentral.
GACGAACGCCGGCGGCGUGCUUAACACAUGCAAGUCGAACGGAAAGGCCCUGCUUUUGUGGGGUGCUCGAGUGGCGAACGGGUGAGUAACACGUGAGUAACCUGCCCUUGACUUUGGGAUAAUUUCAGGAAACUGGGGCUAAUACCGGAUAGGAGCUCCUGCUGCAUGGUGGGGGUUGGAAAGUUUCGGCGGUUGGGGAUGGACUCGCGGCUUAUCAGCUUGUUGGUGGGGUAGUGGCUUACCAAGGCUUUGACGGGUAGCCGGCCUGAGAGGGUGACCGGCCACAUUGGGACUGAGAUACGGCCCAGACUCCUACGGGAGGCAGCAGUGGGGAAUAUUGCACAAUGGGCGGAAGCCUGAUGCAGCAACGCCGCGUGCGGGAUGACGGCCUUCGGGUUGUAAACCGCUUUCGCCUGUGACGAAGCGUGAGUGACGGUAAUGGGUAAAGAAGCACCGGCUAACUACGUG